UUGACCUCGGAUCAGGUAGGAAUACCCGCUGAACUUAAGCAUAUCAAUAAGCGGAGGAAAAGAAACCAACAGGGAUUGCCCUAGUAACGGCGAGUGAAGCGGCAACAGCUCAAAUUUGAAAUCUGGCUCUCGGGCCCGAGUUGUAAUUUGUAGAGGAUACUUUUGAUGCGGUGCCUUCCGAGUUCCCUGGAACGGGACGCCAUAGAGGGUGAGAGCCCCGUCUGGUUGGAUGCCAAAUCUCUG
This 243-nucleotide ribosomal RNA is filed under the name Fusarium sacchari. Its description in RNAcentral is "partial 28S ribosomal RNA". It matches the Rfam family "Eukaryotic large subunit ribosomal RNA", at positions 1 to 246 of the family's 3401-position model. The record is from RNAcentral. Lineage: Eukaryota; Fungi; Ascomycota; Sordariomycetes; Hypocreales; Nectriaceae.